GAGUUUGAUCAUGGCUCAGAUUGAACGCUGGCGGCAUGCCUUACACAUGCAAGUCGAACGGCAGCACGGGUGCUUGCACCUGGUGGCGAGUGGCGAACGGGUGAGUAAUACAUCGGAACAUGUCCUGUAGUGGGGGAUAGCCCGGCGAAAGCCGGAUUAAUACCGCAUACGAUCUGAGGAUGAAAGCGGGGGACCUUCGGGCCUCGCGCUAUAGGGUUGGCCGAUGGCUGAUUAGCUAGUUGGUGGGGUAAAGGCCUACCAAGGCGACGAUCAGUAGCUGGUCUGAGAGGACGACCAGCCACACUGGGACUGAGACACGGCCCAGACUCCUACGGGAGGCAGCAGUGGGGAAUUUUGGACAAUGGGCGAAAGCCUGAUCCAGCAAUGCCGCGUGUGUGAAGAAGGCCUUCGGGUUGUAAAGCACUUUUGUCCGGAAAGAAAUCCUUGGUUCUAAUAUAGCCGGGGGAUGACGGUACCGGAAGAAUAAGCACCGGCUAACUACGUGCCAGCAGCCGCGGUAAUACGUAGGGUGCAAGCGUUAAUCGGAAUUACUGGGCGUAAAGCGUGCGCAGGCGGUUUGCUAAGACCGAUGUGAAAUCCCCGGGCUCAACCUGGGAACUGCAUUGGUGACUGGCAGCUAGAGUAUGGCAGAGGGGGUAGAAUUCCACGUGUAGCAGUGAAAUGCGUAG
Molecule: ribosomal RNA, 689 nt
Filed under: uncultured Burkholderia sp.
Lineage: Bacteria; Pseudomonadati; Pseudomonadota; Betaproteobacteria; Burkholderiales; Burkholderiaceae
Description: bacterial SSU rRNA
Rfam family: Bacterial small subunit ribosomal RNA
Source: RNAcentral